Ictalurus punctatus (channel catfish) is the source of this 7587-nucleotide long non-coding RNA. NCBI's taxonomy places the organism in Eukaryota, Metazoa, Chordata, Actinopteri, Siluriformes, Ictaluridae. The record is from Ensembl.
UACAGGUUACAGUUGGGACAUCUUAUAUAUAUAUAUAUAUAUCAUACUAUAAAUAAUGGUUACUGGGUGGGUUGGUUGUAUCGCAAAACUUAUCGCUUUUGUUAUCACAGCUUGCUGUAAUAAUGCUAGACUAAGUGGGCAUGUCCUUCCAUCCUUUUUCUGAGGAUCGAAGAUAUUGUUUACAGGACAAUAGUACUGGAAACUGGAGACAGACAACUGGGAACACACAACUGAGAAACCCAUCUUUAAAUGUUCAAUUUAUGCAUCAGAUCUAGGCCUUAAAACGGUAAAUAUUUAUCGUGAUUUACUAUACCCUGAUUUUAAUAAAGCAGGAAGCUAUUAAAAACAAUUCAAAAUGAGGAGUUCAGUUUUUAACGUGUUAAGACUUCUGAUGUUUACAGAUCACUCAAGUUCGAUAUAAACACAUCACAAGGCCCUGAUUGUGUGGAGUCUGUAUUUCUAAACAUAGCAGUUGAUAUUAUUUCAUCUCUUUUAAUUUAUCAUUUUAAUCUUUCAUUAGACAAUGGGGUUAUACCAGAAAUUUGGAAAUCAGUUUUCUUAUUUAUUUAUUUAUUUAUUUAUUUAAAUUAAAUUAGGGAUAUCCAACUAUAUUAGAUCAUUACAAUCCAAUAACAAGGCCUCCUCGCCUAUGUCCCUUGUAGAAAGCUUUUUCAGUGAACCGUUCACAUGUUAUCAGUCUGCAAGAAGUCUAAGGUCAUAUAAACAUAUCAGCACAACUGUUGUUUUGAAAGUCUUAAGACAAUGUCACAGUACCCUCUGCACUUCCCUGUCUGUUGAUUUAGAAGAGGCUCUCAACACAGUGAAUCAGGAAAUAUUGCUGCAGAGAUUAAAUAAUGUUGGUCUAUCAAAUCAUUUAAAAAUUACUAAAGUAACCUACCUCCACUGUUCUAAUCACACGAUUAACACCUCUCAUAAAUUCCACUCUCAUGUUUAGUUAAUCUGUAAAAUAGUUCUAGUCUGUUUACUUCAACAAUACAAUCCCAAUUGGCAAUUAUACAUUCUUAUCCCUUCCUGAUUUUCAUUUACCAGAAAGAUAUUGAGAUAGGAGAUCAAAAUUCCUUUAGUCUAAAAAUUUGUGGUGUACACUAACCGAACAUAUUAAUAUCCCAUCUGUGCUAACGAGUGAUAAUCCCAAUAAGAUAGAACUAAAAUAGAGUAAAUGAGGUUGAGAUCUAGAUAUGCAUUUACAGUCCUCUAGCCACUUUUAUCCCACUAAUUUUCAUUCAAAACAACCUAGUGAAUUUGGCUUUAUGUGUACAGCACAAGUGUUUAGUCUAAAUGGUAUACAUGCAUGUACAUGCAUUUUGUUUCUUAAUAACUUAUAACUGUACCACACUCAAAAUAUCACUCAGAUCCUUCAUUCAUGACAAUUAAAUGUUGCUCACUUUGGAGGAAUGUGAAUAUGUAUUUAACUUAGUCUUAAAUAAAAUUUAUCAUCUGUGAGCUUUGUUUCAAUUUACCACCAAGUUGUUACCUUGGCUGAACGCCCAAUUGUAAGAAGCAUAAGAUUCGUCCUAUAAUUUUAUCCAUUUCAUUUAAACUGUAUUUGACCAUAUUAAGGUAGUGUUGAAUCUACUCAUAUCACAAACCACAUUUCCCAUCCUUCACUGCGGUCCACAAACAUGGCUGGCUGCCAUGGACUGCAAUUCCCAGAUCACACACACCUGCAUCCAGUUCUCAGCUCUCAGUUUUUAUCAGUUCUCAGCUGCUGUAUAACGUAUUAUCAAUUCAAUUCACUUCACAGGUUGUGCAGUAUAUCCUCCCUUUCUCGAGUUUGUGACCACUGCUUUAAAUAUUGUAACUCAUAUACUUUGUAUGACAUAUCCAUAGCACACCGUAUAGCACAUAUGUAUAUAUAUACACACACACACAUACAUACACAUACAUAUACACACCCACACAUAUAUAUUUGUAUAACUACUCUAUUCUAUUCACCAAUCUACGGUUCAGGAAAAAACAAAUCACUUCAAACUACACUGUUGUAAAGGGACCGUAAUUAACCUAACUCCCAAACUCAUAUCAGCACAACAUGUCGGAAAAAGGAACCCUUAUGCAAGGCUGUCUAAUCCAGAUACUCGUACUCCCUGCAAAACCCGAAUUCCACAUUAAGUAAUCAUCACCUUAUUCUAAUGUUACGGACUCAGAUAUCAUAUCUGUAACAGGCGUACAACACAUUACAAAGAAUUUAAAAUGUGCAGACUACUACUGCCAUCUGAUCUUACUAAUUACAUAUCAUUGGACAUAUACAGCAUUUAAAGAGAAAAUAUGCAGAAAUUAUUCAUCAUUAUGCAACAUGAAUACCACACGCCAGAAGAAUUCACAUUUACACUGCUUAAGAUAUUGUAUAGACACAUACCCGUAUAGGAAUCACCGAUACACAAAUUAGUUAUGGUUACUCCAGCUCUUGUUAGCGAGUCAGUUCAUGAAGGUAGACUGCUCUCUAAAACCAAAUGUUUAGGCUCAACAUUAUCUCAACAGGGAGGAUGUGACCUAGCCUGAUACGGACCACAUUGUGAUCAGCCAGAGACUGUUACCUCGGGUCGGUUUUACUUUUCAGGGUUUUUUAUUAAUAUCACUCAAAACGAACAGGUUCACAUGUCAAUUUUCUCAUUAGUCAGGAAAAGAUGCCUGUGCAGAAGAAACUAUGUGGCACAAUGCACACCACAUAAACUAUUAUUAAGGUUCUCUCCGGACUGAUAACAUCAAGACAUGCUGAUUGAUUUUAAUUUUUACAGGAAUAUAUCCACGUAUAUAUAUAUAUUGAAUCACUUUGACUUUAAUGUAGAGCGUGAGAUAACUAAAGGAUUGGAAAAAGGGGAAGAAACAGAAAUCUCUCGCACGCGCUCUCUCCCUCUCUCGCGCGCUCGGUGGUUUAGAUAACCGUCACCAUGGAACUCAAAACACUUUCAUUCAGUUUCCAAACAGGGAAACACACGGAAUUCAAAUUAAAAUGAAAAGAAUGAUUUGGAGCUUCGGCGCACAUGAUUCUGACCAGCCGUGUACCCAAUCUAAACAUGGAAUUGUGUACAAUCUGCGCAACACGGUCUCAAUCCAGUCUGGUGUCAUGCCAGGAGACUGAGGAGCCGGGCCGGACGGAGACCCUCCCUCCUAACUUGGAACACGCACAGUAACACCAUAAUACUAAACAAACAACAAACACACAUAAAACUCUUUUAGGCGAACCACACAGACAGUUUUGCAAAACACCCAUCAUUUUUGAGUUAUGACAACGUUAAAUUAAUUUCAACCAAUGAAGCACAUUGAGUUGGAGAAAUCACCUUUUCCUCUACAGUCAAAUGUCUUCCAUUAAAACUCAUUUAAUAAUCUGUAUAAUAAACACAAGUUUUUAACUUGAUUACUCAUAGAAAUAAUGUUGUUCCAACUAGUUUUUCCACAUUAUUUAAAAGGAAUUUAAGUGUUAUGUACUUAUUUACCUUAAUUGUGAACACAAUUUUUUUUUAUAUAUAAUUUACUAACUUCAAGUUGUAUAACAAUAGUUACCAAAAUACUACAAAUAUAAAUGAAAUUAAAUAUAAAUAUAAAUGGAAUAUAAAUGAAAGGUCCAAAUGGACUUUCUCCUCCACAUUUCGAGCGUCGGACUCACUCAUUUCUUAACAGUGCCUUCUGGGGCCUGAAAAUGCACACUUGUUUCCCCACCUUCAGUCUUCCUUUUCCCCUGGAUCACACAAUCGAAAGUAUGUACCAGAUUCAAAACAUUCGAAGACCGCAAGAUAUCUCACAAUGCUCUGCAUUACCAAGCUCACUCUGAAGAGCACACACACACCGAAUUGUCUUUCCUUUUUUCCUUUUUUUUUUUUUUUUGUCCUUCCUCCCUAUUUCCACACAGACGCGCAGAUAAGAACAGACAGGAACACACACAUACACCCCUCCUUUCUAUCAACAACGCCGGCAAGCUCCCAUACACACAUUGUAUUCCACAUUAUUACACUUAUUUAUGUUACUACAUGAAGUUUUCAAAGUAUAAAGCACCUCCAUACCAGCUCCGUAUGCAUGAAGCUUACAGUCAUACAAAUUAAAUCCAACUUUCUCCAAAAAAAAAUUCUUUUCUCUAAAUCUUAUCCCACUUAUCCAAUACUUUAUGUAUGGAGCUCAUGUUCAGAGCACUAAUAAAUACAUUUUCCCUGUCUCCAAAACUUACACGCUCUCACACCGCACUCUUAUUAUAAGCACAUAUAUUAUAAGCACACACAUUUGUUAGUACACAUUCCAUUCAUACACCGGGCAUGCUGUAUUGCACGACCCGGACCUGGGCCCAGGAUUUAUUCCCCUCUCUAUCCAGCCCUGGAAUCUAAUCUAUCUAUCUUUUAUCUAAUCUUUUUCCAGCGGUAUUAGGGGUCCCCACCAAUGCAGCCGCCACUAGUCUGCUAGUCUAGUCUAGUAGCCGGGAUCUGGGGUCUGAGGCCUCAUUUUCCACCUGCUUUCUAUCCCAGCCCUGGAGUAUUUCUCUGUUUCUCUUCUCUUUUUUCUACCUUUUUCCUACCUUUUUUCCCUUCCUCCAGCGGUAUUGCAGGACUUUCACUCACACAACACGUAUACCAUUUCUUUAUUACAAUUACAAAAAGUACAAGCUUCUACAAUCUACACUUCUCUUACCUCUUCUCACUCACUCAAGGUUCUUUUGGAGACCCACUUAGUCUUUCUUCCCACCCCGGGGCUUCUCAGUUGUAACAACAGACCACUAAAACAGAGCUUUGAAAUAACAGGCAUCUGCAAUGCCUUUUCCUAUACGGCCUGUCUGUUGCUUAGAGAGCGAAGUCUUACGGGAGAGAUUCCAGACAUAUAGAUCUUAGCCCAGUCCCAUCUGGGGUGCCAAAUGUUGGCUCAAAUUUAGCCUAUUACCCAAAAACAUUUAAAAUUCAACUUAGAAGCCCAUACUCACAUCUACCUCUGAGCCCAGUUGGAGAUAGAAAAAAUACACCAGCCGUGAGUGAGAAGAAGCAAGGGUCCAGCUUUAUUGUUCCGUUCCACCACACGAGAUCCACACCGAUGAGAAUUCUCAGAGGUGAUUCCAAUACCCUGAGCUUAAGCUCCAGUAUUUAUACUGUAUUUACACACUAAAUAACCCAUAUGUUUCAAAAAGACUAUGAUCUCACUACCAAUAGGGUUAAAAAAGAGCUCAUUUACCUUACUGUUAUGUUCCAGAAAGGGCUAUUUCACUUACACAUAGAAUUGAAAUCAGGGGUUUUAAUUUACACAUAAAAUCAGAACCCAGGCAUUUCUAAUAACCCAGAAAAUAAAAACCCAGUGUUUCUAGUUACUCAGAGGAUCAGAAACCAGAAUUUUCAGUUACCUAGGGCAUCAGAAACCAGAAUUUUCAGUUACCUUAGGGCAUCAGAAACCAGCAUUUUCAUUUACCCAGAGAGUAGACCGUGGACAAGACUAAACAACCUAGAGGGACCUUGGUCUUAUCGUUAUCUCGAGGGGGGGCAGUUUGACCCAGCCACCCUUAUAACUGGCUCCUCAUGGUUCUUUCUUAAAAUUAAGGCCUUCCUUGUGAGCCAAGAACCCUCACCAUUUGAGUCAUGAGUAAGUUUACAUUUUCCUGUAUUUCUAGUUUAUAAUUUAUUUUCAUAUAUGCACUAUAUUUCUUAUUUUAUAUAUAUUUAUACUACUUGAAAAGCGGUUUACUGUACUUCCAACUUCUUAAUAUCAUUACAGUUCUACUGUCCUGCAUAUCCUAUUCUGUUUUUUUUAAUAGAGUUUCUCUAUUACUAUAAGAUAUUAUUAAAGUUAUUCAUGUGUGUGUAUGAGAAAGAGAGAGUGUGUGUAUGUUGUGUCUACUUGCCCGCCCUUGACCGUACAAGCGUGUGUGUGUGUGUGUGUGUGUAUUAGCACUCCUCAGCUCAGCUCGUAUACCUCUUUUUGACUUUUUUGACUACUACUGCUCUUAAAGAUCUUUAAAGUGUAAUUCCAAUUUGUCAAUGUCCGCCUAAUCCCACUUCUAUGUGUCUAGGUGCCCGUCUUUUCUUCUUCUCCCCUUUAUUUUAUGACAUUUUUUAUCCACAACAAAGGUCAUGAUCAUAAAAUUAUUUAUAGUUAUGUUAAAUCUGGAUCACAUCCAUACGUGACAGAAACGUUACCAUACAUGGUACGGCCAUGUGUUUUCCACCCCACACACAUUGCACACAUGUUCUUUCUAACACUCUGUAGUAGGUCAUAAAAAUAUAUAUAGUUAUGUUAAAUCUGGAUCACAUACAUUUCGUGACACAAACGUUACCAUACCUGGUACGGCCAUGUGUAUUCCACCCACACACGUUGCACACAUGGUCUUUCUAACACUCUGAGGUAGGUCGUAAAAAUAUAUAUAGUUAUGUUAAAUCGGGUUCCCAUCUAUUCCUGACACAAACGUUGCUAGUUAUGUUAAAUCGGGAUCCCAUACAUUCCUGACACAAAUGUUACUAUACAUGGAAUGGCCAUGUGUAUUACACACAGACAUCCAAACAAAAAUAUGACACACACAAACACACUUUAUUUUCACAUUAUUUACAAGGAAUUUAAGUGUUAUGUACUAAAUUACCAUAAUGAUGAACACAAGUUGUUAAGUUGACAAUCAUUUUUAAAAUUACAUUUCUCCAUAUAGAUUGUCUGCAGUAGAAUGCAGUCUUUUAAACCAGAAAAAAAUGACUGCCUUUAAGUUUUAUAACAAUAGUAAGUAAAAUCCAGUGUGAUUUACAUUACAAAUCUCAUACGUAACAUCUCUGCAGGAUUUAUAGACGUUAAAGCACUGAAUGAAAUGAGCAAUAUAGACAAAAAUAAACACUCUGUGUCUACUACUUUGAUCUCUCUCAUAGAACUGUCCACAGUCCAAAGGCUGUGGAGCUAAAAGGCUACGUGUGCGAAUGACAAAAGCUUUUAAAAAAUAAAAUAAAAAAAUGUAUCAAUACAUGAAAUUAGAUUACACAAUGUAGUUGAGGUUUACAUGAAUAAGCAGAAAUGUAAUCAUUCUUAUCUUUCCUAUAGCACAAAUGAAAAGCCCUCUCUAGAUGAGCAGAUUUGUCAAAUGAAACUUUUUCCUUCUUAUCCACUGCAACGGUAAACUAAAGAGUAGAUAUUCCAAUUACACUGCUAAAUAUGACUAGCAUUAGCUACGUGUAGUAGUGCAAAAUAGUCCAUCAAAUGUAUUAGCAGGUGUAGCCUAUACACGAGUCCACUAUUGGUCAUAUCACUAUUGAGAACAUGCCCCAAAUUCAUUGCUUUAGUAGAAUUUAAUUGUAAGUGAAAUGAUACUCACAUUGUAAUGUCCUUAGUAUUUGUUCAGUCUACAGGUCCUCUAACACUCUGUUAAAUGAAUAAAUGUAAAUGUACUACAAUGUAAAUUUUGUUUUAAAUCAAUUAAUUCAGAAAUUACACACAAUAUUAAGUUGAUGUAAUUAUCAACAUUAUUAUGUCAACACAACUCAUCAAAAUAAUGUGUACAACUUUAAAUAUUUAAUUAAUUCAAUAAAUUAGAAUUUUUAUCUUGCAACCACACAUUAAAUUUAGAUUGUGGGGGUUUUGUUUUGUAUAGCUCCACUGUUAGAAAAUACAUGAUGGUUGAAUGUGAAC